Non-coding RNA from Acanthosepion pharaonis, 97 nucleotides. Lineage: Eukaryota; Metazoa; Mollusca; Cephalopoda; Sepiida; Sepiidae. The record is from the annotation of a GenBank genome assembly.
GUUAUAAUACCGGUUCCCGUACGAUCACUGAAGUUAAGAAACGUUGAGCCUGCUCAGUACCUAGAUGGGAUACGAUUUCGAAUACCAGGUACUGUAA